This is a long non-coding RNA of Cebus imitator (Panamanian white-faced capuchin), 1323 nucleotides long. RefSeq lists it as uncharacterized. NCBI's taxonomy places the organism in Eukaryota, Metazoa, Chordata, Mammalia, Primates, Cebidae. The record is from RefSeq and is a predicted model, not a curated record. The transcript is spliced from 2 exons.
UUUAACUGAAUUCAAGCCAUACCCACAUCAGCAACAGCACUUCUUCUACUCUGCCCCCUUGAGGGGUUUGCGAGGGGGCAAGAAUGGCAAGGACAAAAAUGAGAAAUGGACAUUCCAGAAAAGUCUCUAACUGUAGCCCUUAAGUGUUCUUGCCACAGUCUCUCCUUAGCUGUUCACUCAUUGCUUGCAGCUCUCGUCCAAAGUGGAUCAUUCUUUCUAUGGCGGCCUGACUUCCUCCACACAACUGACGUCUCAACUGACUCGAAUCAACUUCUGUAAGAAAAACAGACAAGUAUUCUACCACCUUAUGGAAUGUAGUAUAAUGAAGACAUGAACACAUAUUUCUUAUAACAUUUUGUACAUUUAGUAACUAUUCCCUAGUAUUUCAUCUAAAUGCGCAGAUUAUUAAAAAUUCAUUUUCAAUUUAAUAUGAAACUGCAGCUAAAAAAUAUGCUUUAUUUAGCACUCAAGAGUCUAGGAUCCAGUAUUUAGCAUGAAGUUGAGGGAGGACAACCUUUCAGUGUUAGAGUAUACUUAUGUCAGAAAAAAUUUUAGAAAAAGUGUAAUUCCCUAAAACUGUAUUAAGCAACAUUAAAAAAAGUUAAUAAUGCCUCUCAGGCUGCCUUAACUGACAUAAUAGAGGUAAAAAAUGUUCCUGAAAGCUAAGAGAAGCUAAAUGACUACAAUAAAAAUACAGAAGACAGCAUAUUAUACUAACAGAAAAAAUUAAAUGCAUUGCUUUUAGAAAAAUACCACUUUGAGAAAAUAGUUUUAUAUGUCUUGAUUGACAACCAAAUAAUUUAACUGUAUAAAUUGCUAAUAAUAUAUAAAUCAUGAAUAAUGAAGCAGGUAAUGGUGAUGAUGAUGGUAUUUCCCAAGCAGUUUGUGCUAUUAGCUUUUCAUAUUAUUCAUUUUCUUUGCACAAUAACUUAGGAAGUUGUUAUUAUUAUAUCCAUUUUACAGAUGAAGAAACAUACACAGAGUAGUUAAGUAAUUUUUCCAAGGUCACAAAGCUAGUAAUGGCAGUUGCAGAAAUCAACUCUAGGUAAUCUGGCUCUAGAACUCCUGCUCUUUAUCACUAUACUUAAAUCACCCUUUGGAAACUGAGAUGGCUGAUACUGAAGAGUAAAACAAAGCUGUAUUUCUUUUUUAAAAAUAAUUUUAUUAAUACCGCUCCAUCUCAAAAUAAUAAGAAAUCUAAUGCUGCCAUGGAAUUCCAACAAAUAAAUAAUCUGUAAUUUUCAUUCUCCAUUUGAUGGGAUAGUUCGCUAAUGGGACAAUUUACAAUACAAGUUGUCUACAAAAUAAAAUUAUGCACGCUAA